AGAGUUUGAUCCUGGCUCAGAAUCAACGUUGGCGGCGCGCCUAACACAUGCAAGUCGAACGAGAAAGUGGAGCAAUCCAUGAGUACAGUGGCGUACGGGUGAGUAACACGUGGGUAAUCUACCUUUUGGUGGGGAAUAACUCUGGGAAACCGGAGCUAAUACCGCAUAAUCCAGUAAUGGAAAAGUCGAAAGACGCCGAUUGAGGAGCCCGCGGCUGAUUAGCUAGUUGGUGGGGUAAUGGCUCACCAAGGCAAAGAUCGGUAGCCGGCCUGAGAGGGCACACGGCCACACUGGCACUGAAACACGGGUCAGACUCCUACGGGAGGCAGCAGUCGGGAAUUUUGGGCAAUGGGGGAAACCCUGACCCAGCAACGCCGCGUGAAGGAUGAAGUAUUUCGGUAUGUAAACUUCGAAAGAAUAGGAAGAAUUAAUGACGGUACUAUUUAUAAGGUCCGGCUAACUACGUGCCAGCAGCCGCGGUAAUAC
RNAcentral lists this ribosomal RNA (486 nucleotides) under uncultured bacterium. Its description in RNAcentral is "bacterial SSU rRNA". It matches the Rfam family "Bacterial small subunit ribosomal RNA", at positions 8 to 526 of the family's 1533-position model. The record is from RNAcentral.